This 460-nucleotide ribosomal RNA is filed under the name uncultured bacterium. RNAcentral's name for it is "partial 16S ribosomal RNA". It matches the Rfam family "Bacterial small subunit ribosomal RNA", at positions 338 to 795 of the family's 1533-position model. The record is from RNAcentral.
CCUACGGGCGGCAGCAGUGAGGAAUAUUGGUCAAUGGGCGCUAGCCUGAACCAGCCAAGUAGCGUGAAGGAUGACUGCCCUAUGGGUUGUAAACUUCUUUUAUAUGGGAAUAAAGUGCAGUAUGUAUACUGCUUUGCAUGUACCUUAUGAAUAAGGCUCGGCUAACUCCGUGCCAGCAGCCGCGGUAAUACGGAGGCUCCGAGCGUUAUCCGGAUUUAUUGGGGUUAAAGGGAGCGUAGGCGGGUUGUUAAGUCAGUUGUGAAAGUUUGCGGCUCAACCGUAAAAUUGCAGUUGAUACUGGGAUUCUUGAGUACAGGAGAGGUAGGCGGAAUUCGUGGUGUAGGGGUAAAAUGCGUAGAGAUCACGAAGAACUCCGAUUGCGAAGGCAGCCUGCUGGAAUAUAACUGACGCUGAUGCUCGAAAGUGUGGGGAGCAAACAGGAUUAGAUACCCUGGUAGUC